Molecule: ribosomal RNA, 811 nt
Filed under: Syncephalastrum monosporum
Lineage: Eukaryota; Fungi; Mucoromycota; Mucoromycetes; Mucorales; Syncephalastraceae
Description: eukaryotic LSU rRNA
Rfam family: Eukaryotic large subunit ribosomal RNA
Source: RNAcentral
CUAGUAACGGCGAGUGAAGAGGCAAAAGCUCAAGUUUGGAAGCUCAAUGGUUUAACCAUUGCGCAUUGUAAACUGAAAACAGGAUCAAUCAGGUACACCGGGUGAUAAGUUCCUUGGAAUAGGACAUCAUGGAGGGUGAGAAUCCCGUCUUUGACCCGAGUCUAGUAUCUUUUGUAUUGGCCUGUUCAAGAGUCAGGUUGUUUGGGAAUGCAGCCUAAAGCUGGAGGUAAAUCCCUCCUGAAGCUAAAUAAUGGCGAGAGACCGAUAGCGAACAAGUACCGUGAGGGAAAGAUGAAAAGAACUCUGAAGAGAGAGUUAAACAGUACGUGAAAUUGCUUAAAGGGAAGCAUAUAAAGCUAGGAUGCGAUUGUUUUCUUCAGGUUGAGCUUUGGCUUGACUGUUCAGAAGGAUAAUCCAAGACAACAAGAAUUGGAGGAGGAGAAUAAGCCAUUGGGGAAGGUAAUCCUUCGGGAUGUUUAUAGACCUGAUGGUUCGCGCUCUUCUUUCGAUUGAGGUACGCUUUUUUUAAAGGUUGUUGUCUGAAUGGCUUUAUAUGGCCCGUCUUGAAACACGGACCAAGGAGUCCACCUAAUGUGCGAGUAUUUGGGAGGUAAACCCAUAUGCGCAAUGAAAGUGAUUUUACCUAUGAGGGGGUCUCUCGGGGCCUCUGCAAUAGGAUCGGGCAGGGACGUUUUAUACUGAACUGACUCAGAUAAAGCACAUUGGAUGGGACCCGAAAGAUGGUGAACUAUGCUUGGAUAGGGUGAAGCCAAAGGAAACUUUGGUGGAGGCUCGUAGCGAUUCUGACGUG